Molecule: ribosomal RNA, 257 nt
Filed under: Rhipicephalus microplus (southern cattle tick)
Lineage: Eukaryota; Metazoa; Arthropoda; Arachnida; Ixodida; Ixodidae
Description: 12S ribosomal RNA
Source: RNAcentral
UAAUUACGAAAGCAAAAAAUUAUGGCGGUAUUUUAAGCUUCUCAGAGGAAUUUGCUCUUUAAUGGAUAAAACACCUAAAUCUUACUUAAAUUUGUUAAGUCAAUUUGUAUACCACUAUUAAAUUAAUUAAUAAUUUUAAUUUAUAAAAUUUAUAUAAAUUUAAAAAAAAUUAAGUCAAGGUGCAGUAAAAGUUUAAGAAUGAAGUGAAUUACAAUUCUUUUAAGAGAUUAUUUAAAUUAAAAUUUUAAUUUAGGAUU